AGAUUAAGUUAUUAAGGGCGCACGGUGGAUGCCUUGGCACUAGAAGCCGAUGAAGGACGUUACUAACGACGAUAUGCUUUGGGUAGCUGUAAGUAAGCGUUGAUCCAGAGAUUUCCGAAUGGGGGAACCCAGCAUGAGUUAUGUCAUGUUAUCGACAUGUGAAUUCAUAGCAUGUCAGAAGGCAGACCCGGAGAACUGAAACAUCUUAGUACCCGGAGGAAGAGAAAGAAAAAUCGAUUCCCUGAGUAGCGGCGAGCGAAACGGGAAGAGCCCAAACCAACAAGCUUGCUUGUUGGGGUUGUAGGACACUCUAUACGGAGUUACAAAAGAACAUGUUAGACGAAUCAUCUGGAAAGAUGAAUCAAAGAAGGUAAUAAUCCUGUAGUCGAAAACAUAUUCUCUCUUGAGUGGAUCCUGAGUACGACGGAGCACGUGAAAUUCCGUCGGAAUCUGGGAGGACCAUCUCCUAAGGCUAAAUACUCUCUAGUGACCGAUAGUGAACCAGUACCGUGAGGGAAAGGUGAAAAGUACCCCGGAAGGGGAGUGAAAGAGAACUUGAAACCGUGUGCUUACAAGUAGUCAGAGCCCGUUAAUGGGUGAUGGCGUGCCUUUUGUAGAAUGAACCGGCGAGUUACGAUCUGAUGCAAGGUUAAGCAGCAAAUGUGGAGCCGCAGCGAAAGCGAGUCUGAAUAGGGCGUUGAGUAUUUGGUCGUAGACCCGAAACCAGGUGAUCUACCCUUGGUCAGGUUGAAGUUCAGGUAACACUGAAUGGAGGACCGAACCGACUUACGUUGAAAAGUGAGCGGAUGAACUGAGGGUAGCGGAGAAAUUCCAAUCGAACUUGGAGAUAGCUGGUUCUCUCCGAAAUAGCUUUAGGGCUAGCCUCAAGUGAUGAUUAUUGGAGGUAGAGCACUGUUUGGACGAGGGGCCCCUCUCGGGUUACCGAAUUCAGACAAACUCCGAAUGCCAAUUAAUUUAACUUGGGAGUCAGAACAUGGGUGAUAAGGUCCGUGUUCGAAAGGGAAACAGCCCAGACCACCAGCUAAGGUCCCAAAAUAUAUGUUAAGUGGAAAAGGAUGUGGCGUUGCCCAGACAACUAGGAUGUUGGCUUAGAAGCAGCCAUCAUUUAAAGAGUGCGUAAUAGCUCACUAGUCGAGUGACACUGCGCCGAAAAUGUACCGGGGCUAAACAUAUUACCGAAGCUGUGGAUUGUCCUUUGGACAAUGGUAGGAGAGCGUUCUAAGGGCGUCGAAGCAUGAUCGCAAGGACAUGUGGAGCGCUUAGAAGUGAGAAUGCCGGUGUGAGUAGCGAAAGACGGGUGAGAAUCCCGUCCACCGAUUGACUAAGGUUUCCAGAGGAAGGCUCGUCCGCUCUGGGUUAGUCGGGUCCUAAGCUGAGGCCGACAGGCGUAGGCGAUGGAUAACAGGUUGAUAUUCCUGUACCACCUAGUAUCGUUUUAAUCGAUGGGGGGACGCAG
This 1477-nucleotide ribosomal RNA is filed under the name Listeria monocytogenes. Its description in RNAcentral is "bacterial LSU rRNA". It matches the Rfam family "Bacterial large subunit ribosomal RNA", at positions 1 to 1477 of the family's 2925-position model. Lineage: Bacteria; Bacillati; Bacillota; Bacilli; Caryophanales; Listeriaceae. The record is from RNAcentral.